GAUGAACGCUGGCGGCGUGCCUAAUACAUGCAAGUCGAGCGAACAGAUAAGGAGCUUGCUCCUUUGACGUUAGCGGCGGACGGGUGAGUAACACGUGGGUAACCUACCUAUAAGACUGGAAUAACUCCGGGAAACCGGGGCUAAUGCCGGAUAACAUUUAGAACCGCAUGGUUCUAAAGUGAAAGAUGGUUUUGCUAUCACUUAUAGAUGGACCCGCGCCGUAUUAGCUAGUUGGUAAGGUAACGGCUUACCAAGGCAACGAUACGUAGCCGACCUGAGAGGGUGAUCGGCCACACUGGAACUGAGCCACGGUCCAGACUCCUACGGGAGGCCGCAGUAGGGAAUCUUCCGCAAUGGGCGAAAGCCUGACGGAGCAACGCCGCGUGAGUGAUGAAGGUCUUCGGAUCGUAAAACUCUGUUAUUAGGGAAGAACAAAUGUGUAAGUAACUGUGCACGUCUUGACGGUACCUAAUCAGAAAGCCACGGCUAACUACGUG
This 497-nucleotide ribosomal RNA is filed under the name uncultured bacterium. RNAcentral's name for it is "partial 16S ribosomal RNA". It matches the Rfam family "Bacterial small subunit ribosomal RNA", at positions 28 to 507 of the family's 1533-position model. The record is from RNAcentral.